GACGAACGCUGGCGGCGUGCUUAACACAUGCAAGUCGAACGGAAAGGCCCUGCUUUUGUGGGUUGCUCGAGUGGCGAACGGGUGAGUAACACGUGAGUAACCUGCCCUUGACUUUGGGAUAACUUCAGGAAACUGGGGCUAAUACCGGAUAGGAUCUCCUGCUGCAUGUUGGGGGUUGGAAAGUUUCGGCGGUUGGGGAUGGACUCGCGGCUUAUCAGCUUGUUGGUGGGGUAGUGGCUUACCAAGGCUUUGACGGGUAGCCGGCCUGAGAGGGUGACCGGCCACAUUGGGACUGAGAUACGGCCCAGACUCCUACGGGAGGCAGAAGUGGGGAAUAUUGCAGAAUGGGCGGAAGCCUGAUGCAGAAACGCCGCGUGCGGGAUGACGGCCUUCGGGUUGUAAACCGCUUUCGACUGUGACGAAGCGUGAGUGACGGUAAUGGGUAAAGAAGCACCGGCUAACUACGUG
Molecule: ribosomal RNA, 468 nt
Filed under: uncultured bacterium
Lineage: Bacteria
Description: partial 16S ribosomal RNA
Rfam family: Bacterial small subunit ribosomal RNA
Source: RNAcentral